UCUCCUCAUCCAGCCCGGUGGAAAAGAGGGAGCAGACAGGAGGCCUGAGCAGAGAUGUGCCAGCUCAAAUCCCACAGGUACAUCAAAUACCUUUCCGUGGAAAAAGAAAAUCCUUAAGGAUGGGAAAUCCUAUGAUCUGUUCAGCAGCGAAUGCUGAGUACAGCGUCUACCUUGUGCAUCCACAGCAUGCAUGAAACCCUUCCCUGAUGGAACCUAGUGCUGAAAGGCCAGGUGUAUGGUGGGGCCUCAGUUCAAGACUGGGCAAUUAUAUCUUUAUUUUGCUGGCUUGAAUGUAAAUCUCCAUCCUGUCCAACCAGUGCUUCACCCACGUUAGCUUUCCACCACUGCGCUGGACCCCAGCAUGCCUGAACUUAACGUUGAACUGUUAUUUACUAAUCUUCUGGCCUCGCCAGUGACCUUCACCCCUCAUUCUUAGCCCUUCAACGUAUCGGCCAACCUUUCUGUAAAUGGUUAAGAUUCUUAUAAAAACUAAACUUACGGACAG
RNAcentral lists this long non-coding RNA (505 nucleotides) under Rattus norvegicus (Norway rat). RNAcentral describes it as "long non-coding RNA NONRATT029099". The record is from RNAcentral. Lineage: Eukaryota; Metazoa; Chordata; Mammalia; Rodentia; Muridae.